GGUUCGGUGGUGGGUGGUCCACAUCUGCGCUUUAUAUAUGGGCAUCCAAAAAUUGAGCAGAAGGAGCCUGUUCGAUUCGGGCCCGAGUCA
This is a non-coding RNA of Mycena vulgaris, 90 nucleotides long. Lineage: Eukaryota; Fungi; Basidiomycota; Agaricomycetes; Agaricales; Mycenaceae. The record is from the annotation of a GenBank genome assembly.